RNAcentral lists this ribosomal RNA (253 nucleotides) under uncultured bacterium. RNAcentral's name for it is "partial 16S ribosomal RNA". It matches the Rfam family "Bacterial small subunit ribosomal RNA", at positions 524 to 776 of the family's 1533-position model. The record is from RNAcentral.
UACGUAGGGGGCUAGCGUUGUCCGGAAUCAUUGGGCGUAAAGAGCGUGUAGGCGGUCCGGUAAGUCCGCUGUGAAAGUCGGGGGCUCAACCCUCGAAUGCCGGUGGAUACUGUCGGGCUAGAGUACGGAAGAGGCGAGUGGAAUUCCUGGUGUAGCGGUGAAAUGCGCAGAUAUCAGGAGGAACACCUGAGGUGAAGACGGGUUGCUGGGCCGACACUGACGCUGAAGCGCGAAAGCCAGGGGAGCAAACGGG